AAGUCGUAACAAGGUUUCCGUAGGUGAACCUGCGGAAGGAUCAUUAUUGAAAUAAACCUGAUGAGUUGCUGCUGGUUUCUCUUUGGAAACAAUGUGCACACUUGUCAUCUUUAUAUCUCCACCUGUGCACCUUUUGUAGACCUGGAUAUUUUUCUCAGUGCUUAGCCACUCAGGUUUGAGGAUUGACUUUAUGUCUCUUCCUUACAUUUCCAGGCCUAUGUUUCUUCAUAUACCCAAUGUAUGUCUUAGAAUGUAAUCAAUGGGCCUUUGUGCCUAUAAACCUAUACAACUUUCAGCAACGGAUCUCUUGGCUCUC
Molecule: unclassified non-coding RNA, 316 nt
Filed under: Phlegmacium foetens
Lineage: Eukaryota; Fungi; Basidiomycota; Agaricomycetes; Agaricales; Cortinariaceae
Description: Cortinarius foetens partial internal transcribed spacer region
Rfam family: Eukaryotic small subunit ribosomal RNA (bases 1-46)
Source: RNAcentral